GAUGAACGCUGGCGGCGUGCUUAACACAUGCAAGUCGAACGAUGAAGCCCAGCUUGCUGGGUGGAUUAGUGGCGAACGGGUGAGUAACACGUGAGUAACCUGCCCUUAACUCUGGGAUAAGCCUGGGAAACUGGGUCUAAUACCGGAUAGGAGCGUCCACCGCAUGGUGGGUGUUGGAAAGAUUUAUCGGUUUUGGAUGGACUCGCGGCCUAUCAGCUUGUUGGUGUGGUAAUGGCUCACCAAGGCGACGACGGGUAGCCGGCCUGAGAGGGUGACCGGCCACACUGGGACUGAGACACGGCCCAGACUCCUACGGGAGGCAGCAGUGGGGAAUAUUGCACAAUGGGCGGAAGCCUGAUGCAGCGACGCCGCGUGAGGGAUGACGGCCUUCGGGUUGUAAACCGCUUUCAGUAGGGAAGAAGCGAAAGUGACGGUACCUGCAGAAGAAGCACCGGCUAACUACGUG
RNAcentral lists this ribosomal RNA (466 nucleotides) under uncultured bacterium. RNAcentral describes it as "partial 16S ribosomal RNA". It matches the Rfam family "Bacterial small subunit ribosomal RNA", at positions 28 to 507 of the family's 1533-position model. The record is from RNAcentral.